Molecule: ribosomal RNA, 443 nt
Filed under: uncultured bacterium
Lineage: Bacteria
Description: partial 16S ribosomal RNA
Rfam family: Bacterial small subunit ribosomal RNA
Source: RNAcentral
CCUACGGGAGGCAGCAGUGGGGAAUAUUGGGCAAUGGGCGCAAGCCUGACCCAGCAACGCCGCGUGAAGGAAGAAGGCUUUCGGGUUGUAAACUUCUUUUCUCAGGGACGAAGAAAGUGACGGUACUUGCGGAAUAAGCCACGGCUAACUACGUGCCAGCAGCCGCGGUAAUACGGAGGUGGCAAGCGUUAUCCGGAUUUAUUGGGUGUAAGGGGCGUGUAGGCGGGAGGGAAAGUCAGAUGUGAAAACUCAGGGCUCAACCCUGGGCCUGCAGUUGAAACUGUGUUUCGUGAGUGCUGGAGAGGCAAGCGGAAUGCCGGGUGUAGCGGUGGAAUGCGUAGAUAUACGGAAGAACACCAGUGGCGAAGGCGGAUUGCUGGACAGUAACUGACGCUGAGGCGCGAAAGCGUGGGGAGCAAACAGGAUUAGAUACCCGUGUAGUC